RNAcentral lists this ribosomal RNA (402 nucleotides) under uncultured Sphingopyxis sp. RNAcentral's name for it is "bacterial SSU rRNA". It matches the Rfam family "Bacterial small subunit ribosomal RNA", at positions 355 to 774 of the family's 1533-position model. The record is from RNAcentral. Lineage: Bacteria; Pseudomonadati; Pseudomonadota; Alphaproteobacteria; Sphingomonadales; Sphingopyxidaceae.
UGGGGAAUAUUGGACAAUGGGCGAAAGCCUGAUCCAGCAAUGCCGCGUGAGUGAUGAAGGCCCUAGGGUUGUAAAGCUCUUUUACCCGGGAUGAUAAUGACAGUACCGGGAGAAUAAGCUCCGGCUAACUCCGUGCCAGCAGCCGCGGUAAUACGGAGGGAGCUAGCGUUGUUCGGAAUUACUGGGCGUAAAGCGCGCGUAGGCGGUUUUUUAAGUCAGGGGUGAAAGCCCGGAGCUCAACUCCGGAAUAGCCUUUGAAACUGGAAAACUUGAAUCUUGGAGAGGUCAGUGGAAUUCCGAGUGUAGAGGUGAAAUUCGUAGAUAUUCGGAAGAACACCAGUGGCGAAGGCGACUGACUGGACAAGUAUUGACGCUGAGGUGCGAAAGCGUGGGGAGCAAACA